This 1197-nucleotide long non-coding RNA is filed under the name Carica papaya (papaya). RNAcentral's name for it is "long non-coding RNA (CPAP_LNC009904)". The record is from RNAcentral. Lineage: Eukaryota; Viridiplantae; Streptophyta; Magnoliopsida; Brassicales; Caricaceae.
UCUUUUUAAUUACUGGAUUUCCAAUUUUACCCUUCCCUUCUAUAAAUACCCCCCCUUUUCCCUUCUCCCCUCAGCAAGAACCGGAAUAGGAAACUAGCGAGUCCUCAUCGGGUAAACGAAGAAUCGGGAGAAGCAUCUGAAACUGUACGAGAGUUGAAAAAUGAGUUACCUGAAUCGGUUGUGUAUGGCGACGAGUGUAGCAGUGGUGCAAGGCCACACGGACCAGGGGAUUCAAUGGAAAUCCUUGGCGAACUCUCUGAACCGCUCGAAUAGAGGACUUCUGUCGGGUAUCCGGCCGCUAUCCGGUUCAGAUGUUACGGGAUUCGUUGGGAAUCACGAUGCCGGGGAAGAGAGGAGGAGGCAGAUCGCCGGCGACGAGUCUCUCCGGCAAGUGAUGUACUUCAACUGCUGGGGCCAGGGUUAAGAAGGAGAGAGAGGUGGAGAAGAGACCGGAAGUUUUGACACGGAGGCGUCACCGACCGAUGAGAAGGGAACGGAGGAAGUGUAAAAUUAGAGGAAGAGAAGAGAGGAUUGUGAAUAACUGUACAUAAAAAGAACGAACAAGGGACUCUUUACCUUCUACUUGUGAAUUGCUGAUUGUGAAAUCGAUUAACAUAAAUGAAUUUGAGGAAUUUCGUGUUGUUUUACUCUCUUCUGUUUACAGUGUUUUAAUCUAGUGAAGUAGACGAUGUUGAAUUUGAUGAAAUGCUCGGUUGUAGCAGAUCAGCCAUGGAUGAUUUUCUCUAUCUGCUUCCAGAGAACUCUACAUGAAUCUGAGAAAAGAUAAAAUAAUCAGAUCUAGGAAUAAAUAUCUUUAAAGUAAUAUGAACCAGAGAGUCUUUGCCUUGACUAAAGUGCGUCUUAGAAAGCAAUAAUUAUUGAAUAUUUUUUUAAAGAAAAAUUACCAGUACAUUCUAGAGCUCUAAGCCACUAGAUAUUAAAAUAACACUUCCACUUGCUGGAUAAACUAUUAAUAUACUUCUGCAACUAUAUAUUUACUAUAUUAUAUUUCAGUCCAUAACUCUUUUUUUUUUUUUGUUCUUCCAGAAUUUGAUUCAUGAACUUGCGAAAUUGAUGUGAAAAUUUUUAUAUAUUUUAAAUCUAUUUUUAUAUAAUAUAAUUUUUUAAUUAAUAAUUGUUUAAUUUUAAAUUCAUAAGCUAAUCCAAGUACUAAUAAAUACAUUUUUCUUGGUAAAA